RNAcentral lists this ribosomal RNA (262 nucleotides) under uncultured archaeon. RNAcentral's name for it is "partial 16S ribosomal RNA". It matches the Rfam family "Archaeal small subunit ribosomal RNA", at positions 748 to 1009 of the family's 1478-position model. The record is from RNAcentral.
UAGCCGUAAACGAUACUCGCUAGGUGUCGGCCACGGUGCGACCGUUGUCGGUGCCGUAGGGAAGCCGUGAAGCGAGCCACCUGGGAAGUACGGCCGCAAGGCUGAAACUUAAAGGAAUUGGCGGGGGAGCACAACAACGGGUGGAGCUUGCGGUUUAAUUGGAUUCAACGCCGGAAAUCUUACCGGGACCGACAGCAACAUGAAGGCCAAGCUGAAGACUUUGCCGGAUUAGCUGAGAGGAGGUGCAUGGCGUAAGUCGUGU